This is a small nucleolar RNA of Triplophysa rosa, 138 nucleotides long. The record is from RefSeq and is a predicted model, not a curated record. Lineage: Eukaryota; Metazoa; Chordata; Actinopteri; Cypriniformes; Nemacheilidae.
GAAGCCCUGAAUCAAGGCCUACAGCUUGCUGUGUAGCUGUUGGUUUCAAACAGUGGCUAAUAUCAAAGUCUUCCAUUGGUCUGUUGCCUUGCCCAGAAAUAUUUCAUGGGUUAAGCAGAUUUAGUAUAAGGGACACUU